UUAGUUGAAGCCAAAAUAGAGGCUUAUCACUGUUAAUGAUAUAAUUGAAAUCAAAAUUCCAACUAAA
Molecule: transfer RNA, 67 nt
Filed under: Somatochlora hineana
Lineage: Eukaryota; Metazoa; Arthropoda; Insecta; Odonata; Corduliidae
Description: tRNA-Asn
Source: RNAcentral